RNAcentral lists this ribosomal RNA (443 nucleotides) under uncultured bacterium. Its description in RNAcentral is "bacterial SSU rRNA". It matches the Rfam family "Bacterial small subunit ribosomal RNA", at positions 958 to 1397 of the family's 1533-position model. The record is from RNAcentral.
AACGCGAAGAACCUUACCAGCCCUUGACAUGGGACGUUCGGGAUCCGGAGACGGAUCCUUUCAGUUCGGCUGGCGUCCACACAGGUGCUGCAUGGCUGUCGUCAGCUCGUGUCGUGAGAUGUUGGGUUAAGUCCCGCAACGAGCGCAACCCUCAUCUUCAGUUGCCAUCGGGUAAAGCUGGGCACUCUGAAGAAACCGCCGGUGACAAGCCGGAGGAAGGCGGGGAUGACGUCAAGUCCUCAUGGCCCUUAUGGGCUGGGCUACACACGUGCUACAAUGGCGGUGACAAUGGGAUGCGAUGGAGCGAUCCGGAGCCAAUCUCAAAAAGCCGUCUCAGUUCAGAUUGCACUCUGCAACUCGAGUGCAUGAAGGUGGAAUCGCUAGUAAUCGUGGAUCAGCAUGCCACGGUGAAUACGUUCCCGGGCCUUGUACACACCGGCUAC